CUCAUAGCUCUGUUACUCAGUACGAGGAUCCAGCCGCUGCUGGCUCACGUUCACCCAUGUGGUGCUUCGAAGAACCAUGUGAUCCCACUUGGGUAAACACGGAGGAACUAUCUUUGAAGGAACUGGAGUCGCAGGGGCGAAGGUUAACGACCCUGGUCGAGGCGACUUCAUGACUGUCGGUUAUCGGUUUGGCUUGCGGUGCUUAUGCCUUCUGCGACGCGGUGCGGCUAUUUGACCGCAGGGUGGCCGCGAGAAAAAGGUAAGCCCUAUGCCAACAACGCUUAAUUUCUCUCUGGAUUGAAUUGAUUUGUUUUUGAACCGCCCCUACAACGAGCUCUGCUAAUCCAUGUGCACUCUAUAGCGGCCAACUCUUCGGAUGCGUAGUUUUGUUGUUUUACUCUGAACGUCAAUGGCAACAUCAGUAUACCACACAGCGGCAUGUCUGCUCUACGCUUUCGCUAGAUUUGCUUCUGUCCUCGUUUUUUUUUUCUUCCGUUGUACACUUCCCCCUUUUCAUAAAGAAUGGCGCCUUUGUCGUGUUUGCCUCCGCACGUUGGUUGCAGGAUUGGACCUGGUCGAUUUGGAAUUGAAGCUCCGCUCCUAGUGUCAUCGUCUCGUGGCGAGGGGAAUUCGAAGCAGGUCAGUUUCUGGUGCCCGGUCAGAUCGGUCCAUUGGUUCCGUCACCUGCGUUCGGUGAUUUCAGAUUUUGAUGGCUCGCCCGUGUGGUCUCCUGGAUCUGUGUUCCUGAUAGAGCGCUCUCUUCCUAUGAGUUUUCGUCAUCCGUUAAUAUGAGGUGGAUUCGAAGCCCUGGUGGAUUCUUAUUAGCAGCUGAUCUCGCUUUUGUAUGUGGUUUUUAGGCUAACCACAGGCGUGUGUUUUGCUCCUUUAGAUGCAGGAUGGAGUCAAUCUCAAUCUCCCUCGAUUUACAUUCUUAUUUGUAUGCACAGUACAAUUUUGUCUCUGGUGAUUCUGAUUUGUAUUUGGAUAAUCAAUCUCAACCUCCAUUAGAUUUACUUUCUUUCGUAUGCACAGUACAAUUUCAUCUCUAGAUAUUCUGAUUUGGAUUUACUGGUGGUUCUACAGAAAUUUGAAUUAUACAGCUUCGGGGGAGAUCCUAUGUCGCUUCAGCAAGGGCAUUCCCUUCUGUGUUUGGAACUCUGGAUAAAGAGCCUCUCAAUUUAAUUUCUUUGUCUCCACAUAUCAAUUGUAGUCUACAACAAUAUUUCUGAUUUAGAGUUUUGUUGGUGGUUCUCCAGAAAUUGGAAUUCUAGAGCUCAACGGAAGGUCGUAUUGAUGGGGCUUGCACUUCCUUCCUAGUUUCGAUAAUUGAGUCCCUCGAUUUUAUUUCUUCGUCUGACAUUCACUUAGUCUCCAACAGACAACAGUUCUGAUUUGGAUUAGUUCGUGGUUCUCCGGAAGUUGGAACUAUACAGCUUCGUGGUUCUAGUUCGCUUCAUCAUGGUCCCGGCGGUUCCUUUUCGCGACUCAACCAUUCCCAUUUCUUCUAUUAUUGAACUUCCAAAUAUUACCUUAGUCGGUAAUUCUCAGCUUCUUGCAGACACUGGCUUGAAGAGACAUAAUUGCAGUUCGGAACUGCUGUUAUUAUUAUCAGACCUUCCCAGCCAUGACAAACUUUAUUUUCCCAUCACUUUUAUGCAUUCUUUAGCUGUUUAAGCAGCACAACUUCCCCCACUUUUUUUUUUUUACAGAAAGGUCUUCCUCAUUGCAGGUCAUAUUUGUUGAGUUCAAGUUGAACCUAAUGCUGAUUUGCUGAGUCAAAAUUUUCAGAUCUCCUAAAUCUACUAUCUUAUUUCAUCAUAAAUUACAUAACCAAUAAUAUAGUGAAUAUUUUAAAUUUAGAUUGAUCUGCAAAGGUGGAUCCUUCUAAGGAUGAUCUGGAGCUACUAAUGAAUGAUACUAUCCUACAACAGAUAAACCUGGCUCUAUUCUUAUCUCUUACAUUCCAAUUUCGAGUAUUUUGUUCUGUUUUUACUUUGUUUAGCUGCUUUACAUAGCUUUGAUUUCGGUUUUUGCCUAAUACCCUUACCGUGGUUGCAGAUUUUGCCCAGGCCAUGCUUGAGUUACUCGAAAUCUGUUGGAUGGUUUGCGCUUUCUCUCUGGUUCAGUUUAUUGUUUGUAUUCCUGACCCACUUUGUUGGUUGUAGGUUUUGGAGUUCCAUGAACCUAUAGCAGAAUCUGUGCUCUUCUAGUGGAGACAGGUCAGUUUUUUUUUUUUGAGAGGAAACUGUAGGAGAGGCUCCGACAGUGAAUAAAUUAAAAUACAAAAUAUUUACAAGGAGGUCAAAGACCCCAGGACACAAAGACACACUGCCCAUACACACACACAAGCAGAAAGAACACAUAGCUAACGGUUCCCAUCCAACGAGGAGAGCCAGUCAAGAAUAGCAAUCCUAUGAGCUUCUUUAGUCCUAAGGCUAUUAGUGAGCAACUCCUGCUUAAAGUUAACAAGCCAUCGAUGAGCAGAAGGAGGAUCCCUUUCAAAGAUAAGAUCAUUGCGCUGCUUCCAUAUGUGCCAAGCAGCACAAAUGAAGAUAAGCAUAAACCCAGGUUCUCUGGAGGAAUUAUUAGCAAUCGCCAUCCUAUCUAUGGUCAUGCUCUGGCAGAGCUGGUAUCUUCUCCACCCAAAAAUACUAUGCUUCAUGUUUUCAAGGUCUGCAAACAGAUAUGGUCUUAGGAUGGAUUUGGCGGAGUAAAUGUGUUCCCAAGCUCAAAGUAUUUGCCUGGCUGCUGCUCAAUGCAAAGCUCACAGGUCAGUCACAGUUGUUUGGUCCUUUGUGUUCGCCACGUCCACGUUUAGUUCCAGGAGACUAGAUCUGGUCUGGAAAUGUGCUCUUCUCAUGUGGAGUCAGGUCAGUCACGGUUAUUCGGUUCAUGGUUCAUUUGUGUUGUGCUGCCUCCAUACGUCUGUUGCAGGAGAUUAGAUCUGGUCUGGAACUGCUUGUGGUAUGUUGAUCAAAUGAGGUUGAUCAUGAGGUGGAUUUUAGGCUCUGUGUUGGUUCUUAUCGUAACAACUGAUCUUGCUUGUGGUAUUUUGUCUGUGCUCCUUCAAAUGCAGGCAGUGAUGGUUGUGGAUGCUUGAGUCAAAGGGUUGAGGUUUGCUUACUGUUCAUUCUUAUUUUAUUGGCUAUGGUUCUGUAUCUGGUAAGCUCAUAUAUGUGAGCUGGUGUUGGAUUAUGCUGAAUUGGAUCGUUGAUCAUAGGGUCGGAGAACAUGAACUUGCUUGGAUAACCACCCCACCUCUUUGUCUGCACAGUUCAAUAUUGGUAUAUGAUAAAUCUGAUAUGUAUUGUUGGUUCUCUAGAAAAUUGGACUUAGAUGACACUCCAGGAUGUCUUAUUUUCCUACCGCAUGUUACCAGCAGUUCCUUUCGUGACUUCAACAAUCUUUUCCAACUUAUUUUUCAACUCGAAUUCGCUGCCUUUGUCAGUAAUUCCGUGCUAUUGCAGAUGGUGAAACUUGGAUGAGAUAUAAUCUGGAACCGUUGCUUUUAUCUGAUUGUUCUCUGCCAGUCUACCAGGCUUAAUCCCUCACUAUUUGAUGCCUGAUUUAUCUGCUUAAGCAGCUUCCCUCCCCCAAAUUACAAAAUCAUAGAACGGUUGCUCAUUGCAGGUCCUAGCUGACGAUCCAACACUCCAACCUGAUGAUGUAGCUGGGUUAUAUCUGUUUGCAGAUAUUCUGAACCUACCUUCUCCGUUCAUUCAAAACUUAACCUAUAUAAGGUCAUGCAGAGGCAAUAUAUGAACUCACAGAUUUUGAUUUGCACAUGUUCAAGAUUAGAAGUGUGCUCUGGAGCCUCAGUCUAGACGUCUCAACCUACAACCCCCCCAAAAAACUCAGUAUACUCUAUCAAAGCUCUUAUUUUAAGCCUUUAUUAAAUUUUUUGCUUUGCCUUUGUUUCUUAUUGCUCGUAGCUUCGAUGCAAGUUUUUUAGCCUCUGCCUUUCUGUGGUUGCUGUUAGCCACUAGAAAUCUGUUAUACUGUGGUUUGCAAUCUAUCCAUCCAUGGUUCAGUAUCUUAUAUUACUCUGCAUCUGUGUUCUUGCUAGUGUGGUUUGCAAUUUAUAUAUCCAUGGUUUCAUUUCUCAUAUCUACUCUGCAUCUCCAUGUUCUUGUUAGUUUCCUGGGCAUGUUGUUUCCAGUAUAUGUUUUCAAAGGGGGAUGGCUGCCUGUGUCCUGUAUGAUGAUUCAGGUCAGUGUUCCUGGCAGUCUGUUCAGUUCCUCCAUCGAUGGCUAAAUAAUUCCCAAUGUGAAUUUGGCACCCUGGACUAUUUCGUACUCUUGUUACCCCUCUAGAUAUAGGAGAGUACUUUUGGAGAUUGGACAAAGAGGAUUCGUUAGUUCAUGUCUGGUCUUUCUUUUGGUAAUAAAAAAUUGAUCUUGUCGCCCUCUAGAGAUAGGACAGUACUCGUGGAGAGUAGACAAAGAGGUUUCGUUAGUCCAUGUUUGUUCUUUCUGUCAGACAAUAUCUGUUGUUGUGGCAACCGUGAUUUGAAUUGUGUUGUUCAGAUCCACAUGGUUGAAUUCUUGAAGAUUUGAAGUUGUUGAAGCUUGACCGAACUUGUACAUUAUUGAAUUGGAGUCUGCGAUGCUUCUUGUUCCUUACUUGAUCUGUUGACGUGAGCAGUUUGAUUCUGUGCGACAAUGAUUUGGAUCAUGUGGUUGUUCUUCAGCGACUUCUAUGCUGCGAAUUCUUUUGGGCCUCAGUAAUUGGAAUGGGCUGACGGUUAGGAGUUACUUCUUCGCGAUUGAUAAUCUUCUCAAACUUCUCAUUGAUAAUUUACAUUCCAAGCAUUGUGUAAUGCUUGCAAGUAAUUCUCAGUUUCUGCAGAUCUGGCAUACAUCGAGGAAAUCAAUACUGAUGGAUAUGAAUGCAUGGCUUCGCUUAACCAGGCUUAUUCAUCUCCUUCCUAUGUUUUGCAUGUUUUUUUGUUGUUGACCGGCUUUCUCCAAUAUGGUAGACUUCGUUCAUUGCAGGCCUAGUUGAUAAUUCUCCAAGAGGAACUAAUCUAGUCAUGCAUGCUUCGUUUGUCAAUUACUUGUAUCUUAGCUGUUGCAAGUGCAGUAAUUCUCAGAGGAAAGGCUUGAUUAGAAAGUCGUAACAUUCAGCAUGGAGAAGUUUCUUAUAACUGCCAUAAAGUUUUUAUUGGCGUCCAGCAACUGGAUUUUUAAGUAUGGAUUGUGGACUAGAGCUUUCCAUAUGUGGAUUUAUUCAAUGGAUUUCUUCUCAUGACAAGUGAUCAGUUCAGACUCGCAUCUUUAAUAUGUUCAGAAGCAGCUUACAUUUGCAUAAUAUCUCAGCACCAUUAAGAUGUGCAUGCUCCGUGACCGUGACAGUCUUUCAGUAUACCUGAGAAGUUCGCCAAAAACGAUAGGAAAAUCUUUGAGAUAAGCUCUUGCUCACUUGAGAUGUGCUGAUCUCAUCUGAAACAGAAGUCCUAAAGCAGAAAGAUCAGUUCGUACCAAAUUCAUUAGCAGAUUAUCUUGAAAUGUUGAUUUGGCUAUUGGUUACUAAAUUAUUUCUGGAAGCUGGUUUUCAUUCUAAUAUUUGACUGCUACAAUCUUCAAAAUUUGUGCACUCGGCUAUGUAUUUAUUGCAGAAAAUCUUGUAGCCUGUGGAUCACUUUGUAGGAAGUAAAUAUGACAUGUGUAAAUGGAGAAAAAGAUCUCCACGGUUGAUAAUACUUGAAUUUAUUUGGGAUCAGAGUCAGAUUUGUCAGUCGAUACAUUGUUGUUCAUGUUCAUCACAGUACUCUUGUUUCCUGAUUUAACUUUUCCUGGUCAGUUCUUCGCUUCGUAAAGAUUGCUUUUUGUAGACCUGCUCCCACCCAGUAGCUUGCUGCUUUGCUUGCCCUCUUCACUUUAUUGAUUUCUAGUGUCAAAACAUUAAUUAGUAAUUAAUUUAAAGAUGAUUAACAUUAGUGACAUUGUAGCUGGAUAUAUUUUUGAACUGCAAAGAGGUUAGGAGUUACACCUCAACAAGGCUGAGUUGAAAAUCCUGGAUUGGAAGCUUGAACAAAUAGUUUGCAUGCACAUCCUUUUUGCACUUGCUUGAACAUGGAAUUGAUUUUUCAUGAGAUUUUUAUUCUCAUUGGUGCUGCUUCAGGGGGGUCUGGAUUACAGGAUCUUCAUACAUAUCUGCUUGGUUUACUUCUAGUGGUGGCUUGCAUCUAAACUCAGAAAUUGUCCUUUAUAUGUCUUUCUUAUCAUCUGCGUACAUCCUGGAUUUCCUAAGACAUUUCUGUUCGCAUAUCUUAGGGCCUUCCAACGUUAUGUUCUAUCUCUUAUGGCCUAGUGAUGAAGAUAAAUCAUGUUAUGUUCGUGUUUUCAAGAUUAAAGAUUAGGAUCAACCCUCACCCCCUGGAUUGGAGUAGUUAAUUUCAGUCACGUUCUAAAAUCUAUAGCCUUCUUUGUCUAUGUUGGAAAUCCAAUUAUUGCAUGCACUAACAACUUGCUUGUGCUCCCAUGGCUGUCUUUGUUACCUUGUUUGUGUGUGUGUGUGUUGUGCGCGCCCGCGCGAAUAUUACCUUUGCUUGAUUGUGUGAUUUGUACUUUUCUGAAUGUUCAGUUGGUAAUGUUUGCUAAUUUGUGUUUUGUAUUGUUGCAGUUUAACAAUGCCUUUGCCGGUCCCAAGCCCAGAUGAGAAAAUGUGGAGGGAACUUCUUUCAGCAUUUUCAUGGUCUCCAAAUAUUUUCAAUCGAGUAAUAGUGGAUGAAGUUCACGUAAUGUGGUAGCAUAUGGUUCAAACUUUGGAAUGCACCUUGCCAUGAUGGGAAUCAAAAUUUAUUUAUUCCCAAGGUAAGUGGUCGCAGUUAGAACUGAACUCCACUCCAGGAAGUGACUGAUUCUUUUCUGAAGAUGUAACAUUAGUGCAAGGCAUUACAUAGCAGGCCUCAUCUAAGGUUCAAGAACGGCUGCAAGCCAUUCUAUGGAAAAAAGCAAAAGGGACACUGAUCUUUGGUCAAAGUUUGACAUAAAAUUCCUCGUGGGCCUUAUAAACCAAAAGGGAGGGAGUACAACAUUAUAUUUUUCCAUGGAAAAAAGACCCAAAUUAUAAAUGAUGGGACCUUGAACCUGUGAUGCUACUCAGGAUAACGAUGCCAAAACUAAAUUAAAUAUUGUGUCUAUUUAAAUCUUGCUUCUUUAGUUAACGUUCUUCCGAAGUAAAACUAUAGAAUAUUUUUCCCAUGGAAAAAAGACCCAGAUUACAAAUGAUGGUUGUUCAGGUGAUGGGACCUUGAAGGCUUGAACCUGUGAUGUUAUUCAGGAUAACGAUGCCAAAUCUAAAUUAAAUACUGUAUCUAUUUUAAUGUUGCUUCUUUAGUUUACGUUCUUCCGAAGUAAAACUAUAGGAUAUUUUUCCCAUGGAAAAAAGACCCAGAUUAUAAAUGAUGUUGGUUCAGGUGAUGGGAUCUUGAAGGCUUGAACCUGUGAUGCUACUCAGGAUAACAUGCCAAAACUAAAUUAAAUAUCGUAUCUAUUUUAAUAUUGCUUCUUUAGUCAUUAUGGAUCGGAGGGAGUAAUAUUUUGGAUGUGCUUUGGCCACAAAUACCAACUUGUUAAGAGGCAACUCAUCGCCAUUAAUAUUCCUAUCUUAAUCUUUUGUUUAACUAUUUUAGAAGAUACUACUGGGAUAUCAUCCCUUAUUUGGAUGCCUAGGGCUGCGCCCCCUAUAGGGAUGCAGGCCCAUGACAUUACACCCCCCACCUUUUUUAGCAGCUCGUCCUCGAGCUGCGGUGGUGGCCACGACUGAAGUCCUAGGAGGCCCCAAGCUAAUGUCCGGCCACGGCUGUCAUGGUUGUGCAGCACCUUUGUCUUUGGAGGAGGAUACAUCCAUACCCCUGCUGCUUUUGGACGAAGGGACUUCUCCCUUGCGCCUGGGGGCGGGAACCUCCAUGCUGCUGCAUUACGUCUCACUGCAUUUUUCUGCACCCGCCCUGAGAGGCGCUUCUUCCCUGCUGCUGGACAACCAAGGCGCUUGUUGCUGAUCCUUGCAAGCUUGAAGACUGUCACAGCAACACCACCUCCCGUACUUGACCUCAUACCCUACCGGACUUGACGAGCUGCUAGUUGGCGAAGGCGUUCUACAAGGCCAACACGCGGCUGCCGCAGGUUGCACUACCGCCAAGGCUGACUUUAUUCUUGCUUGCCUCAUGACUAUUACAGGGGGCCCUUUUAUAGGGAAGACUCGACUUAACCUCCAAGAAACUAACAAACCAUAUCUUAAUAUUCCUAUCUUAAUCUCUUGUCUAACUAAUUUAGAAGAUACUACUGGGACAUCAUCCCUUAUUUGGAUACCUAGGGCUGCACCCCCUAAAGGGAUGUAUGCCCAUGACGGGUACAUAUUUCUUGCAAUUGAAUCUUUGUAAUCUGUUCACCAUGUGAACUUCAAAACAAGAACAAAAUUAGGCACCACCAACUCAACUUUUGUUUGAGAAAUAUGGCAGUGACUGAUCUCUUUAAAUAAAUGAUGUGUAGGCUUAUGUUUCUCUAUUUCUUUCAAUACCUGUAUUACCUGCCAACAUAGAAGUUUUAUUGGUUAAUAAAAAAUAGGUUUUUGUGGACUGUGCUUGGCACAAAGGAUUUUUUUUGUUCUGUUCCUGUUUGGGUACCAGACUCAUGAGUAUGUAGGGCAAUUAUUGUAGAUUUUUGGGUUCUAUCUUCUGUCUUUCCAUGAAAGAAAAACUGUCAUCUUUCUGUGCCUUUCUCUACUCUAGAUGCUAAUGGGCAUUGGAUGCAACAAGAACAAUGUCAUAUUAAGUUGCUUCAAUUUUUAUGUGCUUGUUGUCAUGCUGAUAAGCAUUUCAAUAUAUGAUAAUGCACUCAUAUGCCAAUUUAAGUUCUGCACAUAUGCUUAAUGAGCUGCUCUUUAGCCUUGCAGGCCCAGGUAAACUACAUAUGCAUUCAUUGUGUAUAACCAAGUUUGCGGCCAUUAUCUAUGGCUAUGUCUACUGUUUCAGUCCAUAUAUUUGGCGAUGUGCCUUAGUGCCUUCUUCACCUCUUGUUGGUCUGCUUCAGGUACUUGCUUGUGUUUGUUCACAAUGAGGCCUAAUCAAAAUUUAAUUGCUUAAUAACUUAAUUGUCCAUGUUCUCAGUACGUAAUCAGGUCCAUUCUUUCCAUGUUAAAUGAGAUUACUGUUGUAUUGCCUAUAUUUUAUUACUAGAUCAUUGUCAUAAUGGAGUUUUUAUGUUAAUAUAUUAUUUUAGCUACCAAUAUUUCUAUGGAAUCUAUUAGUGCCCUAGCAGAUAUCAAUGCAUUUUAAUUGCAUCCAACACCACCCGGACGCUGAUUACUAUUGAGUAUUAUAUUACAUCAUGUUAAUAGUUUUUGAGAUUUGAUGCAGGACAAAAUCCAAGAUUGGAGAGCAACAACGCUCGUGUCGACAUCCAUUCUCUUCAUUGCAGUUAUGUUUUGGUUUAUUGGUAUGCUUUCUUAGUAUAGUAAUAAUAAUUUCAAAAUAUCUAGGCGGUAUCUGAUGUAUUCAAAUAUACUAAUUAAAAGAUUUUUAUAAAGCUUGCCACUCUAGGAGCACUAUUGUUUCAAUCUAUGGAGACUCUUUCCUGAAGUACAUGUCGCAUGCAUGCAUGCUGAGAAACCAAACCAAUCUUCCUCUGAGCUACUGCCUAACUAUUAUGUGCUUGGAGGGUGAGGUUAAUUUGAUUUGCACGAAAGUAACAAAGUAGGGUCUGGAUCAAUUUUUACCUGCUUCAGUUGCAGAUCUUCUAGCCUUAUUAGUUGUUACAUGCGAUAGAAUAUGUAAAGGAGUCCGGUGAAAUGCUGCCAUUGAUUAUAAGCAGGAAAUCAUGGAGUCUGGAUAUUUAAGGGUGGUGGAAUAGUACUAAAUAGACAUCAUUUUCAAGUUGAUUGUGACCUCCUGGACAAUGCAAUGAAGGACCAGUGUUGCCAUGAUAAUCUCCUGUUUUUCUGAACAAGUCCACACUGAAUUCUGCCAGGUUCUCAACUGAGGUUAGGUUUUGUAUGGUUCCUACAAAGUAAGCUGAUACUAAGGAUGGCGUGGUUCUAUUUGAAUCCUAUUCAGUAUUUAGUGCAUUUGGAUUUCUUUCAAUGUAGUGUAUCUUUCUUUUGAUCUAUUAAUACAUGACAGACCUUUCCUUGAUCUAGGGACCCAAAUAGAAUAUUCAGUACCUUUCUAUGCAGAAGUAUUCAGUUUUGAAAUGGAAGUCAGUGUGUGCCCAGAUGAAAGCACGUCGAAUGUACAGGCACUGCGAGAUAAUUUUGCACUUGUAACAUAGAUUUUUUUUAGUCAGUGUUAGCACAGUGUUUUUUUCAUCAGUAGAUAGCACGGAAAAGCAUUAUGAAUAACACAAAGCCAACUUGAUAAUGCAUAUUGCAUUGGUAGGGUACUCUUAACUUAAGCCAUGCUUAAUAAGCAGUCAAGUGCCUUUCCAUCUGUGUUUUUGAAAUGUAAUCUUGUCAAAGAACCAGUCUUUAGGUCCUGGAUUCAGCAUUAGCCACACCACUUGUGUCCAGACUAAACUGGCUUUUGAUAUAUCAAUUAUUUCACUCUCAGUUUCAUUAUUAUUCCCUUGUGAAUCCAUGUGUCCUUUUAUCCAUUUGCAGACUUUCACACAAUAUGGUAGAUAUGGAGACAUAGUUGAGCGGGUUCUUGUUUUAGUGUUGAAAUUAUAUUCAUGGUCGGAUCAUAAAACACACUUCUUGGAUUUGUUGAAAUUUCUGAUCUAUUUUAUAUGUGUCAGUCUUUUGUUUCACAUUUUAUUUUAACAGGAAGCAUGUAUCUUGUUUCUAGGGCUUAAGUUGUGGGAUGACGAAAUAUUUCUCUUCGAUCAAAAGGAAUUGAUGGGUCUUACCCUGCUCUGCAGACACCAAUUGGUGCCUCUUCAUUAAUAUUGUGCUUUCUCUUCUACCGGAAAGGAGCAAAAAAUUUCCUAUUUUGUUUGAAUAUUCUGCUGCCAAAAACUAUCAAUACAUGUCAGGAAUAUGUUUCCUGGUUUGCACACAUGAAAGUUGUGUUGGAUUGGGCUCACACUUGCCCUACCAAAAUUUGGCAAGCCAAAUAACUGGUUGUAGUUUUGGUUGGGCCAACUUUGGCCAAAAUAUUGAACUAAAGUUGGCUAAAUGAAAUUGGCUUGCCAAAUAGUUGGCCACCAUCCAAACAACUACCAAAUUUUGGUCAAUGACCAAAAAUUUAGCAUGACACCUCUUGGCACUGAACCAAACACACCCGAAUUUCUACUAAAUAAAGGUUGUAUCUUAUUUAUUUUGUGUUCUUUCUAAAUUUACUAGAUUUGAAGUUUCGGUCUUGAAAUAUAUGUGGCAGUUGUCGUUGGUAAGAUUUUGGAGCGAGAUAGCAUUGGUCUUGGAUAUGUUACAACUCAAGGUGAGCAUGUGGACAUGGUGAAAUUGUCACUGACCCAAUAAAAGUGUUCAGAGUUACCUUGGUAUAUGCUGCAAGGGGGACUGUCUACUAACGUAUGCUCAUGAUAAUUUUCAUUCAAUUUUUUUUUCUCACUGCUCUCAUGUCUCUUUUACAUUUCAUAUAUUGGAUUGACCUCUGUCCACAACUCCUGCCGCUUAUAUGUUUCUUUUCUAGAAUACACCGCUUAGAUGUUUUGAAAACGCCUGAAGAUUUAGCUUCCAGUCAACUAUGAUGCACUUUCAGCUAGGCCUGCAAGAGCAGCUUAUGUCUACUAUAUCAGUAUGCAGCAGCACACAUAGCUUUUUUACUGGCUUUAUCUAUCAAAAUAUGUACAUUACUAUAUCAGUUCAUUUCUUAGUUUAUUAUAACCAGUUAAUCUCCUGGUUUAGCGAUGACUCACCAUUUGCGCUCAGGUGGCGCGCGAAGGCACGCCCCAGCAUCUAGUACACAUUAGUUGGCAGCUACGAAUUAGGUUAUACAGAUUAGACUUUAUAGACAGCAGGCACAUGUUUGGUAUUCUAGAAUAUGCUUCUGUCUUUCUUGGUCCGUGGUAGUAGUAAUCAGCUUUCAAAAUGUUUCGCCUCGAGGUACUUGAUUUACUUUUGCAAAUAUACAGAUGCGCCACCAAUGAACAAUAGCACCUGUCAUUAGUAGAAUGUUUUCGCCUUCUACUGCUACGAUUAGACAAGGAGAUUGCAGUUACAAGUGUUGGUCUACUAAUAUCUAUCUGAUGACCAGAGGUUUAGAUGAUUUUAUUUGGUUCUUAAUCUGGGGAAGUGGGUUGGAAUUAUGGGUUAAACAGCUUAUCCAGAUUCUUUUAACGGUUCAAUGUGCCCUCUGGUGCUUCUUGGCUAUUCGAUUUGUUGAUGGUUGAUUCUACUACCUGAUGAUCAGAGGGUCUAAGUUUUCUAGCUAUUCAUCAAUUCAAAUGAAUGUUGGAUCUUAGCUAGCAAAAGAAGAGCUGUAUGGCCUACGUAAUGAAGGAUUUGAACAAUGAGGGUACUUCUUUAAGGCAAUCCAUUUGAUGAACUCAUUUACAGUAGUCACCAAUUGCUAUUAAACUUUCAAUCUUUCAUUAUUUUCGAUACAACAUGCUAGGUUAGUUAUGUUCUUCCUAUGCUCUAAGAAGUAAUGAACAUAACACUGUUUGAAGUAUUCUGAAUUCUUAGACAUGUAUAUUCUCUAGAUUAGUUAUGUUCUUCCAAUUUUUAUUCCCUUUUUUCUUCCAUAAAUUUAAAUCCAGUCUGGUGCACACUUGUGUAGGAUUAUUGGACAUGCCUUUAAUUUCCCCAUUCCAUUGUUUACAUAACUAACGAAAAUAAUCUAGAAGUGGAUGACUCAUAACUCGAUGUCAUCCAAACUUAUUUCUUUAUAAAACUGCGCUGCAUGUAGCUUUUCCGGUCUUAGUCAUAGCACUGGCGGUAAUUUCUACAAUUUUUGUGAUUUCUUUUAAUGAAGUUUGUGUUCUUUACACUUUUCUCCAUGUAGCUCUCUUUCUCAAAUUUUGCAGCUCUUUUUCUCUACUGGCUCAACAGAUUAUUUUGUAUGGUUAGGUAUUUUGGUUCGGGCAAAAACUAGCUGUUUUUAUCUGCUCUACAACAUGUUGAUAUGUGAUCUGGAAUGACUACAUACCAUGUCCGAACUGCAAUUCUACAACCUGGUGAUUGCAUUUACGUGGGUCCUAUAAUGGGCAUAUAACUGAAAUCAACUUCAUGUAAUCUUCCUAUGCUUCUAUCGGAUGCUUUCUUUCUUUGCAGAUCCUGUGGUCAUUCAGCUCUUUCUGACUAGCAUAAUAUGGUGAGAAGAUUGGCUUCUCCUUUCAUUCUGCCCAGUCCUAGAGCAUCUAAUAAUAACCUGGGGCCAUGCCUUUGGUGUAACAGACUGGUUUUUGGAGCUUCGAAAAACUUUUCCAUAGAAAUGAGAACCGAAAACUUUCGCUGCAUUUAACAAAGCUUAACUGAAUUUUAUAAAAAGGUUUGGUUUUAAAUUGAAUUAACACCAACUAGAAUAUAAAUCUGAUUUUCCUCCUGCCUGCGCUUACCGACGUCCUUCUCUUAUCUUUCCCUCCGAGCCAAAUCUUCAGUUGAAUGUAAGAGCUUUAUUCAGUCCUCUAUUUCCUCUGUGGUAAUAUUUUAAGAACAAGUUAUUGUACUCGCCGUAGAGUACAUAAGAAAACCAGAAGAGGAGGAAGCAUCAACCAAACCUCCUCCACCAGUGACUCCUUCAGAACUAGAGCCAGAAAAAGAAGUCACAGCCAGAGCAGUGCCAAUAGAUUUGCUGGUAAUUUUCCAUAUUACCACAGCAGGCUAACAUCAACUUCUUUACAAACAUUUCCAUCUUUACUUGGCACGGGAUGGGUUAACCGAUCUCUAUCACAUCUGACUUAAUCCAAUGAAUGCUUUGGCCUUCGCAAUUGUCGUUCAAUCAGGUACAUAUAUCUUGCAAUUGAAUCUUUUUAAUCUGUACACCAUGUGAACUUCAAAACAAGAACAAAAUCAGGCAGCACCAACUCAACUUCUGUUUCAGAAAUAUGGCAGGGACUGAUUUCUUUAAAUAAAUGAUGUGUAGGCUUAUGUUUCUGCGUUUCUUUCAAUACUUGUAUUACCUGUCAACAUAGAACUUUUAGCGGUUAAUAAACAAAUACUCCCUCCGUUCCUAAAUACUUAUCGCUGUGUAUUUAGGAACGGAGGGAGUAGGUUUUUGUGGACUGUGCUUGCCACAAAGUAGAUGCUAAUGGGCAUUGGAUGCAACAAUAACAAUGUUAUACGAAGUUGCUUCAAUUUUUAUGUGCUUGUUGUCAUGCUGAUAAACAUGUCAAUAUGUGAUAAUGCACUCAUAUGCCAAUUUAAGUUCUGCACAUAUACUUAAUGAGCUGUUCUUUAGCCUUGCAGGCCCCAGUAAACUACAUAUGCAUUCAUUGUGUGUAACCAAGUUUGCGGCCAUUAUCAUUGGCUAUGUCUACUGUUUCAGUCCAUAUAUUUGGCGAUGUGCCUUAGUGCCUUCUUCACCUCUUGUUCGUCUGCUUCAGGACAAAAUCCAUGAUUGGAGAGCAACAACGCAGUUUUGUUUUGGUUUAUUGGUACAGGAGUCCAGUGAAAUGCUGCCAUUGAUUAUUAGCAGGGAAUGAUGUAGUAUGGAUAUUUAAGGGUGGUGGAAUAGUACUAAACGGGCAUCAUUUUCAAGUUGCAUGUGACCUCCUGGAGUCCUGGACAAUGCAACAAAGGAGCAGCGUUGCCAUGAUAAUCUCCCGUUUUUCUUUUAUUCUGAACAAGUCCACACUGAAUUUUGCCAGGUUCUCAACUUAGGUUUGAUUUUGUAUGGUUCCUACAGAGUAAGCUGAUACUAAGGACGGCAUGGUUCUAUUUGAAUCCUAUUCAGUAUUAAGUGCAUUUGGAUUUCUUUCACUGUACUGUAUCUUUCUUUUGAUCUAUUAUUACAUGAUAGAACUUAACUUGAUC
This is a long non-coding RNA of Brachypodium distachyon (stiff brome), 14874 nucleotides long. RefSeq lists it as uncharacterized. The record is from RefSeq and is a predicted model, not a curated record. The transcript is spliced from 4 exons. NCBI's taxonomy places the organism in Eukaryota, Viridiplantae, Streptophyta, Magnoliopsida, Poales, Poaceae.